This is a long non-coding RNA of Cyprinus carpio carpio, 765 nucleotides long. NCBI's taxonomy places the organism in Eukaryota, Metazoa, Chordata, Actinopteri, Cypriniformes, Cyprinidae. The record is from Ensembl.
GUUACCUCUUAACAGGGAACAACCUUAUGAUAUCCCCAUACUGUAAUGGGAGAAAGUAGAGAACCGGUAACGUUAGCCUCUGGUAAUUUCGCCCGUUGGCUCAGAAUGAAGCUUUUUUAGCAGGCUUCUCCAUUUUAACUGUGUUGUUUAACCCGCUUGGCUCUCUGGAAAAGCAGGAUAGUAUUAAGUUCGGACGUCCCGAGGACACUAAACAGGUUUCGGUUGUUGUGCUUAAUGUUGUUGUAGAUCGAGUGUGGUUUAAAAGCAACCGUAUGAACGAGAGUCAGUUACUUAGCCGACAACAGAUCGCUAAGAAUCUCGAUACAACAAGUAGCAGUAACAGACGGUAGUUACAGACUUCUCAAAAUGGUGAGCACAUGUGCUUUUACUAAACACGCCGGCAGGAAAUGUUGCUUUCAAGCAAGCACCUCAACGUAUCAUGAAUGUGCAACAGAAUAACUGAGGUGGUUACCGUUCCCUGCCGAUAUAUGGACAAGCACAAGCAUCACAGGCUGGUUUGGUAUAGUACCAUUAUCCCUUGUUUUCAUAGACGAGGCUUAAGCCUAGUCCCAGACUAAAAUGUAAGUCUGAGCUGUUUUAACUGAAAGAAACUUGCACUGACUGAUCUUAAAAUAUAUCAGUGCCUUUGUUUUGUCUUGAAAUGCGCACCAGUAAUGUUUUCUCUAAGUUGCAAUUAUAAAAAUGACUUAAAUUUGAACUAUGGCCUAAUUCUGGCUUAGUCUAAGUCCCGUGUGUAACCAGGCC